Molecule: ribosomal RNA, 497 nt
Filed under: uncultured bacterium
Lineage: Bacteria
Description: partial 16S ribosomal RNA
Rfam family: Bacterial small subunit ribosomal RNA
Source: RNAcentral
GAUGAACGCUGGCGGCGUGCCUAAUACAUGCAAGUCGAGCGAACGGACGAGAAGCUUGCUUCUCUGAUGUUAGCGGCGGACGGGUGAGUAACACGUGGAUAACCUACCUAUAAGACUGGGAUAACUUCGGGAAACCGGAGCUAAUACCGGAUGAUAUUUUGAACCGCAUGGUUCAAUAGUGAAAGACGGUUUUGCUGUCACUUAUAGAUGGAUCCGCGCUGCAUUAGCUAGUUGGUAAGGUAACGGCUUACCAAGGCAACGAUGCCUAGCCGACCUGAGAGGGUGAUCGGCCACACUGGAACUGAGACACGGUCCAGACUCCUACGGGAGGCAGCAGUAGGGAAUCUUCCGCAAUGGGCGAAAGCCUGACGGAGCAACGCCGCGUGAGUGAUGAAGGUCUUCGGAUCGUAAAACUCUGUUAUUAGGGAAGAACAAAUGUGUAAGUAACUGUGCACAUCUUGACGGUACCUAAUCAGAAAGCCACGGCUAACUACGUG